Diabrotica virgifera virgifera (western corn rootworm) is the source of this 1012-nucleotide long non-coding RNA. RefSeq lists it as uncharacterized. The transcript has 3 exons. The record is from RefSeq and is a predicted model, not a curated record. NCBI's taxonomy places the organism in Eukaryota, Metazoa, Arthropoda, Insecta, Coleoptera, Chrysomelidae.
AUAAGACAUUCUGUGAACAUACUACCAAUGUUCCUAUAUUUUAAGUUGCGAAAUAAUACAUACGUGUAACAGAUACAACAUUACUUAUAACAUACCAGACAAACUAAGUGACACUUUAGGCCUACAGUGCAAUAAUAUGUCAAAUUUAAAGAGUUUCCCAAGUUCAAUUAAUACAAUAUUAUAAACAUACAAAUGUAAUAAAAAUUAUUGUUCGCGAAUAUUCAAUUUGGAAUGCGAUUUUGUUAAUAAAAAAAAUACUUAUAACUUAUGCAAAACCCAAGAAAGGCAUUUAUAUUUAUUUCUUUUGCGUUCAUUUUCAAAUUCGCCGUGCAUAUAUUUUUGUGCAUGGCGCUUGAGAGGGCAUCACGUGACUAAAAACGACCAACCAACGACCUCGCUUCGGCCAUCUUGGCAUCUUCAUCUUGGCCACCUUGCUUUGCCGUGGGUGGAUCGUUGUUUGUAUUAUUUGUGCUUUUUAAGAAUAUUUUUUUAAUUCGGAUACUUUUAUAAUAGCUUUAAUAGUAUUAUUAACAUAGUGAAUAAAAUGGUGUCCUGUUUUUAACGCAGUUGGAGUAGCAGAAACAAAUGUAGAUAAAAAAAUCUGCCGGAAUAAUGUUUCAAUUAUGACAGAAGCUCCAAACAAAUGACUGUGAAUGAAAAGCCCUAUUAAAAGCUUUCCAGAAGAUCCUGCGAAGAAGACAUGAAGUAUAGAUCAGAUUUAUUAAUAGAGGAGUAUGUUCAAAACACUUUUUAGAAAAAGAUAUUGACAGAACUUCACUUUCAUCUGUUCGUUUAAGAGACUGUGCUGUUCCAAUAGCUUAUGUCACACAGAAUCAGCUGAGAGAAGUGGUCUACAAAAAACCAGAAAGGAAACGGAAUAUGUGGCUACGAAAAGCAAAAGAAAGGUUUACAAAGCAAAUGUGACACAUUUUUUUAUAAUAUUUAGGAAUGUCAGUAAAUUACAUUAAAAAAUGUAUGUAAAGAUUUUUUGCAAUAAAAAUGUUUAUAUUUA